This 492-nucleotide ribosomal RNA is filed under the name uncultured bacterium. Its description in RNAcentral is "partial 16S ribosomal RNA". It matches the Rfam family "Bacterial small subunit ribosomal RNA", at positions 29 to 507 of the family's 1533-position model. The record is from RNAcentral.
AGUGAACGCUGGCGGUAGGCCUAACACAUGCAAGUCGAACGGCAGCACAGUAAGAGCUUGCUCUUACGGGUGGCGAGUGGCGGACGGGUGAGGAAUACAUCGGAAUCUACUUUUUCGUGGGGGAUAACGUAGGGAAACUUACGCUAAUACCGCAUACGACCUACGGGUGAAAGCAGGGGAUCUUCGGACCUUGCGCGAUUGAAUGAGCCGAUGUCGGAUUAGCUAGUUGGCGGGGUAAAGGCCCACCAAGGCGACGAUCCGUAGCUGGUCUGAGAGGAUGAUCAGCCCCACUGGAACUGAGACACGGUCCAGACUCCUACGGGAGGCAGAAGUGGGGAAUAUUGGACAAUGGGCGCAAGCCUGAUCCAGCCAUACCGCGUGGGUGAGGAAGGCCUUCGGGUUGUAAAGCCCUUUUGUUGGGAAAGAAAAGCAGCAGGUUAAUACCCCGCUGUUCUGACGGUACCCAAAGAAUAAGCACCGGCUAACUUCGUG